Molecule: long non-coding RNA, 1032 nt
Filed under: Monodelphis domestica (gray short-tailed opossum)
Lineage: Eukaryota; Metazoa; Chordata; Mammalia; Didelphimorphia; Didelphidae
Description: lncRNA (ENSMODG00000037059.1)
Source: RNAcentral
ACCUACUUCAAUUCCCUGAUUUUAUGGAGGCAUAAACUAGGCUCCAAUGUUACACAGGUUGCAGAGAAGCAAACCUGGAAUUUGAACUCAAGCCUUUUAACUACAAUUCCAAUCUAAGUUCCAUAAUAUAAAACUCUCACUACUCUUAUUCCAUUUCAAGUCCUUAAUUGAAGGUCUUCAUCUAAUAUCAAAUAUGAAUCAUAACCGAAUGCAAUAAGGGAAGAUUUUGUAAGCAGAGCAAAAAUCCAACAAAUCUCUUUUGGGUAAAGGAACUUGAGAAGGGAAGAGGGAGGAAGAAAAAGCUGAGGUUGAUCAUCUAGAAGAGAGAAAGCAAGAGUAAAAUGAACUGGGAAUGAGGAUUUGUUAGAGAAAGAAGAAAGGAAUCCUAGAAUGAGUGCUGUGACACAUGUUAAAAUAUGGAAAUUGCUCUUCAAAUAACCAGGAAUGACCCCAGAGAAAAAUUCCUGAAGAAGCAACUGAUAUUUGAAGACUAUCAAUUUGGCAGUCAUAUGGAGGACAGGAUAGAAGUGGGAGAGACUGGAGGCUGGGAAAACAUUUAGACAGCUAUUGUAGCAUUUCAGCAGCCCUCCCCCUCUGAGGGGUGAUGGAUUUGCCCUGUUGCCUGGAGACAGGACUCAAACAGAAGACCCAAAGAGAGCACCUGGGCGCUGGCUCCAGAGGAGUUAAGAACAAGUCCCGGAGUGGAUAACUCCUGGAGCAGAUAACUGAGCCGAGUAACCCCAGCAAAGUGAAGCCUCAGCUGGAGCUGGAGGGAGAUGACAGGAAGAAGAAGGCAGCAUCUGUGGACCCCCUCCCCAGGCAGGAUUUACCUCCCGCCCAGUGCUCAGGCUGCCUCCUACUAGAUUACUAUUUCUCAACAUAUAAUUAAAUAUUGUUUUUGUGAUUAAUCACUAUGUUUAAAUUAUGUUUGAUUUGUAGCAAUGAGAAUACAUAAUGCAUAUCAGGUAUUUACAUUCCGAAUCAUAACUGUAGCAAAAUUACAGUUUUGAAGUAGCCACCAAAAUAAGUUUU